CUACUGAGGGUGCGAGCGUUAAUCGGAAUUACUGGGCGUAAAGCGAGUUUAGGCGGCUACCUAAGUCGGAUGUGAAAGCCCUGGGCUCAACCUGGGAAUUGCAUUCGAAACUGAGUAGCUCGAGUCUGAUAGAGGGAAGUGGAAUUUCCGGUGUAGCGGUGAAAUGCGUAGAUAUCGGAAGGAACAUCAGUGGCGAAGGCGGCUUCCUGGAUUAAGACUGACACUAAGGUGCGAAGGCGUGGGGAGCAAACAGGAUUAGAAACCCCUGUAGUCC
Molecule: ribosomal RNA, 274 nt
Filed under: uncultured bacterium
Lineage: Bacteria
Description: partial 16S ribosomal RNA
Rfam family: Bacterial small subunit ribosomal RNA
Source: RNAcentral